GGGUAACCUGCCCAAGAGAUCGGGAUAACACCUGGAAACAGAUGCUAAUACCGGAUAACAACAGAUGAUGCCUAUCAACUGUUUAAAAGAUGGUUCUGCUAUCACUCUGGAUGGACCUGCGGUGCAUUAGCUAGUUGGUAGGGUAACGGCCUACCAAGGCGAUGAUGCAUAGCCGAGUUGAGAGACUGAUCGGCCACAUUGGGACUGAGACACGGCCCAAACUCCUACGGGAGGCAGCAGGU
This 242-nucleotide ribosomal RNA is filed under the name uncultured Lactobacillus sp. RNAcentral's name for it is "partial 16S ribosomal RNA". It matches the Rfam family "Bacterial small subunit ribosomal RNA", at positions 119 to 354 of the family's 1533-position model. Lineage: Bacteria; Bacillati; Bacillota; Bacilli; Lactobacillales; Lactobacillaceae. The record is from RNAcentral.